Molecule: ribosomal RNA, 403 nt
Filed under: bacterium
Lineage: Bacteria
Description: partial 16S ribosomal RNA
Rfam family: Bacterial small subunit ribosomal RNA
Source: RNAcentral
UGGGGAAUAUUGCACAAUGGGGGAAACCCUGAUGCAGCGACGCCGCGUGAACGAAGAAGGUAUUCGUAUCGUAAAGUUCUGUCCUAUGGGAAGAUAAUGACAGUACCAUAGAAGAAAGCUCCGGCUAAAUACGUGCCAGCAGCCGCGGUAAUACGUAUGGAGCGAGCGUUGUCCGGAAUUAUUGGGCGUAAAGGGUACGCAGGCGGUUUAAUAAGUCGAAUGUUAAAGAUCGGGGCUCAACCCCGCAAAGCAUUGGAAACUGAUAAACUUGAAUAGUGGAGAGGAAAGUGGAAUUCCUAGUGUAGUGGUGAAAUACGUAGAUAUUAGGGGGAAUACCAGUAGCGAAGGCGACUUUCUGGACACAAACUGACGCUGAGGUACGAAAGCGUGGGGAGCAAACAGG